UACAGAGGGUGCUAGCGUUAAUCGGAAUUACUGGGCGUAAAGCGCAUGUAGGUGGACAUUUAAGUCGGGUGUGAAAUCCCCGGGCUCAACCUGGGAAUGGCAUUUGGGACUGCAAGGCUGGAGUGCGGCAGAGGAGACUGGAAUUCCUGGUGUAGCAGUGAAAUGCGUAGAGAUCGGAAAGAACACCAACGGCGAAAGCACUCUGCUGGGCCGACACUGACACUGAGAGACGAAAGCUAGGGGAGCGAAUGGG
This 253-nucleotide ribosomal RNA is filed under the name uncultured bacterium. Its description in RNAcentral is "partial 16S ribosomal RNA". It matches the Rfam family "Bacterial small subunit ribosomal RNA", at positions 524 to 776 of the family's 1533-position model. The record is from RNAcentral.